GACGAACGCUGGCGGCGUGCCUAAUACAUGCAAGUAGAACGCUGAAGAGAGGAGCUUGCUCUUCUUGGCUGAGUUGCGAACGGGUGAGUAACGCGUAGGUAACCUGCCUGGUAGCGGGGGAUAACUAUUGGAAACGAUAGCUAAUACCGCAUAAAAUGGAUUAUCGCAUGAUAAUCCAUUGAAAGGUGCAAAUGCAUCACUACCAGAUGGACCUGCGUUGUAUUAGCUAGUUGGUGGGGUAACGGCUCACCAAGGCGACGAUACAUAGCCGACCUGAGAGGGUGAUCGGCCACACUGGGACUGAGACACGGCCCAGACUCCUACGGGAGGCAGCAGUAGGGAAUCUUCGGCAAUGGACGGAAGUCUGACCGAGCAACGCCGCGUGAGUGAAGAAGGUUUUCGGAUCGUAAAGCUCUGUUGUAAGAGAAGAACGAGUGUGAGAGUGGAAAGUUCACACUGUGACGGUAUCUUACCAGAAAGGGACGGCUAACUACGU
Molecule: ribosomal RNA, 496 nt
Filed under: uncultured bacterium
Lineage: Bacteria
Description: partial 16S ribosomal RNA
Rfam family: Bacterial small subunit ribosomal RNA
Source: RNAcentral